This 345-nucleotide unclassified non-coding RNA is filed under the name soil metagenome. Its description in RNAcentral is "partial contains 5.8S ribosomal RNA, internal transcribed spacer 2, and large subunit ribosomal RNA". The stretch from base 1 to 120 matches the Rfam family "5.8S ribosomal RNA", at positions 35 to 154 of the family's 154-position model. The record is from RNAcentral.
GAUGAAGAACGCAGCGAAAUGCGAUAAGUAGUGUGAAUUGCAGAAUUCAGUGAAUCAUCGAAUCUUUGAACGCACAAUGCGCCCCCUGGUAUUCCGGGGGGCAUGCCUGUCCGAGCGUCAUUGCUGCCCUCAAGCACGGCUUGUGUGUUGGGCCUCCGUCCUCCUCCCGGGGGACGGGCCCGAAAGGCAGCGGCGGCACCGCGUCCGGUCCUCGAGCGUAUGGGGCUUCGUCACCCGCUCUUGUAGGCCCGGCCGGCGCUUGCCGACACAUCAAUCUUUUUUCCAGGUUGACCUCGGAUCAGGUAGGGAUACCCGCUGAACUUAAGCAUAUCAAUAAACGGAGGA